ACCGGCGGCUCGAGUGGUAACCGUUAUUAUUGGGUCUAAAGGGUCUGUAGCCGGCCGGAUAAGUCUCUUGAGAAAUCCAGCAGCUCAACUGUUGGGCUUUCAGGAGAUACUGUCUGGCUCGAGGCCGGGAGAGGUGAGAGGUACUUCAGGGGAAGGGGUGAAAUCUGAUAGGCCUGGAAGGAAAACCAGUGGCGAAGGCGGCUCACCAGAACUUACAUGACGGCAAGGGACGAAAGCUAGGGGCACGAACCG
This 252-nucleotide ribosomal RNA is filed under the name uncultured prokaryote. Its description in RNAcentral is "partial 16S rRNA". It matches the Rfam family "Archaeal small subunit ribosomal RNA", at positions 475 to 726 of the family's 1478-position model. The record is from RNAcentral.